This 301-nucleotide ribosomal RNA is filed under the name uncultured bacterium. RNAcentral describes it as "partial 16S ribosomal RNA". It matches the Rfam family "Bacterial small subunit ribosomal RNA", at positions 509 to 807 of the family's 1533-position model. The record is from RNAcentral.
CAGCCGCCGCGGUAAUACGUAGGGUGCGAGCGUUAAUCGGAAUUACUGGGCGUAAAGCGUGCGCAGGCGGUUUUGUAAGACAGGCGUGAAAUCCCCGGGCUCAACCUGGGAAUGGCGCUUGUGACUGCAAAGCUAGAGUGCGGCAGAGGGGGAUGGAACUCCGCGUGUAGCAGUGAAAUGCGUAGAUAUGCGGAGGAACACCGAUGGCGAAGGCAAUCCCCUGGGCCUGCACUGACGCUCAUGCACGAAAGCGUGGGGAGCAAACAGGAUUAGAUACCCGAGUAGUCCCUGUCUCUUAUAC